Pelobates cultripes (western spadefoot toad) is the source of this 269-nucleotide non-coding RNA. The record is from the annotation of a GenBank genome assembly. NCBI's taxonomy places the organism in Eukaryota, Metazoa, Chordata, Amphibia, Anura, Pelobatidae.
CUCCAAACACCCGAACUGCAUACAAGGGAAUGCUCCAAACACCCGAACGGCAUACAAGGGAAUGCUCCAAACACCCGAACGGCAUACAAGGGAAUGCUCCAAACACCCGAACGGCAUACAAGUGAAUGCUCCAAACACCCGAACGGCAUACAAGGGAAUGCUCCAAACACCCGAACGGCAUACAAGUGAAUGCUCCAAACACCCGAACGGCAUACAAGGGAAUGCUCCAAACACUCGAACUGCAUACAAGGGAAUGCUCCAAACACCCG